RNAcentral lists this ribosomal RNA (925 nucleotides) under uncultured bacterium. RNAcentral describes it as "bacterial SSU rRNA". It matches the Rfam family "Bacterial small subunit ribosomal RNA", at positions 1 to 918 of the family's 1533-position model. The record is from RNAcentral.
UUAGAGUUUGAUCCUGGCUCAGGAUGAACGCUGGCGGCAUGCCUAAUACAUGCAAGUCGAACGAGAUGAGAAGAAGCUUGCUUCUUUGAAUCUAGUGGCGAACGGGUGAGUAACACGUAGGUAACCUGCCCAUGUGCCCGGGAUAACUUCUGGAAACGGAUGCUAAAACCGGAUAGGUAGCAGACAAGCAUUUGACUGCUAUUAAAGUGGCCUUGGCCAUGAACAUGGAUGGACCUGCGGUGCAUUAGCUGGUUGGUGAGGUAACGGCCCACCAAGGCGACGAUGCAUAGCCGGCCUGAGAGGGCGGACGGCCACAUUGGGACUGAGACACGGCCCAAACUCCUACGGGAGGCAGCAGUAGGGAAUUUUCGUCAAUGGGGGGAACCCUGAACGAGCAAUGCCGCGUGAGUGAGGAAGGUCUUCGGAUCGUAAAGCUCUGUUGUAAGAGAAAAACGGCACUCAUAGGGAAUGAUGAGUGAGUGAUGGUAUCUUACCAGAAAGUCACGGCUAACUACGUGCCAGCAGCCGCGGUAAUACGUAGGUGGCGAGCGUUAUCCGGAAUGAUUGGGCGUAAAGGGUGCGUAGGUGGCAGAUCAAGUCUGGAGUAAAAGGUAUGGGCUCAACCCGUACUGGCUCUGGAAACUGAUCAGCUAGAGAACAGAAGAGGACGGCGGAACUCCAUGUGUAGCGGUAAAAUGCGUAGAUAUAUGGAAGAACACCGGUGGCGAAGGCGGCCGUCUGGUCUGGAUUCUGACACUGAAGCACGAAAGCGUGGGGAGCAAAUAGGAUUAGAUACCCUAGUAGUCCACGCCGUAAACGAUGAGAACUAGGUGUUGGGGGAAUAACUCAGUGCCGCAGUUAACGCAGUAAGUUCUCCGCCUGGGGAGUAUGCACGCAAGUGUGAAACUCAAAGGAAUUGACGGAA